UACGGGGGGUGCGAGCGUUGUCCGGAAUCACUGGGCGUAAAGGGCGCGUAGGUGGUUUGAUAAGGGUGUGGUGAAAGUCCGGGGCUCAACCCCGGAUCUGCCGUGCCGACUGUCAAACUCGAGGACUGUAGAGGCAGACGGAAUUCCUGGUGUAGCGGUGAAAUGCGCAGAUAUCAGGAAGAACACCCGUGGCUAAGGCGGUUCUCUAGUACGGUACUGACGCUGAGACGCGAAAGCGUGGGGAGCGAACAGG
RNAcentral lists this ribosomal RNA (253 nucleotides) under uncultured bacterium. RNAcentral describes it as "partial 16S ribosomal RNA". It matches the Rfam family "Bacterial small subunit ribosomal RNA", at positions 524 to 776 of the family's 1533-position model. The record is from RNAcentral.